Molecule: long non-coding RNA, 1163 nt
Organism: Ictalurus punctatus (channel catfish)
Lineage: Eukaryota; Metazoa; Chordata; Actinopteri; Siluriformes; Ictaluridae
Exons: 4
Source: RefSeq, a predicted model, not a curated record
UUCCCUUUGGCACAGAACAAUGAUCCUGCAGCCUCCAGAAGAUCUCGUGAGGCAAAUACAGAGAUUGGCUAAAGGCACCAGUGCUGUAUCUACCCAGACAAGAAGGAGGACAAGGCCUAGUAGAUGUUGGGUCCAGAGUGAAGACAUUCAAACUCCAAGUGGCGCAGAGACUUCUCUACAGGCAGGAUGUGAGCUGGGCUGGGAUAGCGUGCACCUUACUGAGGAAAUCAGUGGCUGCAGGCAUAUUACAUGCACAUCCGGCCAAGAGCGAUCAGGAGUGACCUGAACUGUGACAGAUUUUUUCCUUUCGUCAGCUGGCACGGCUUUGCUCACAGUUUCAAACGACCUUGGUGUGCUCCACAAAGCUUAUGAAAAAAGCUGGAGAGAGUGCACACUGGAAAGCUUUUUAAGAGCCACCACUCGUCAGGCAGGAAGUGCGGCAGAGUCAGCAGCAGCUAACCCGAAGGACACGGAGAAGGAGGCCGUGUCCUUUCACUUGGCCUACGACACUGCCGUGGCCAGACUGCGCAGAGUACCGACGCCACAGGCUGUAGCCGCCACGGCUACAUUGCUGGACUCCUUGGCAGGCUGUGACACCGACCGGUAUCCUGGUCCGUCAGUCACAAAGUCUUUUGACUUUUCAGACUUUUUAAAGAUGUUUCCGGCGUCGGCAGACAGCAAACCACCCACCAAACAGGACGGGUUAAAGGCAGGGUUUCCGGGGGAUCGUGUCUUCUACGACAAGUGGCGUGCCUCCCAAAAGGCCAAAAGAAUGGAACUGCUGCUAUGCAAGUACUCUGAUCCAUAAAUACCACAUUGACUAACAAAAUGAAUAAAUAUUUACUUUGACAAUUGAGCAAAACUAUGGUCUCCACCCACAAGCUCAAGUCAUUUCUGUUGUGAUUUGUUCCUGUCGAUAACUGACGUGUGACUGCAGUCGUUUUAUUCUUCGUUCUAGUGUCCUUUAUCCGAAAACCACGAGAAAGCAGGGUGAAAUGCAGGAUUGUGAAGGAGGGGUGGAAGAACAACUGUCCGAAGCCAGCGGACGUUUUGGCGGCAUGGAAACCAGCCACCAGACUUGUCAUCGAGACUGAUGAGGGCUUCUGCCAGAAUGCGUCUCAGCAGACGUGGAAAGGCCUGGCCCUCAAAGGUUUUGGUGGAGA